RNAcentral lists this ribosomal RNA (492 nucleotides) under uncultured bacterium. RNAcentral describes it as "partial 16S ribosomal RNA". It matches the Rfam family "Bacterial small subunit ribosomal RNA", at positions 29 to 507 of the family's 1533-position model. The record is from RNAcentral.
AGUGAACGCUGGCGGUAGGCCUAACACAUGCGAGUCGAACGGCAGCACAGUAAGAGCUUGCUCUUACGGGUGGCGAGUGGCGGACGGGUGAGGAAUACAUCGGAAUCUACUUUUUCGUGGGGGAUAACGUAGGGAAACUUACGCUAAUACCGCAUACGACCUACGGGUGAAAGCAGGGGAUCUUCGGACCUUGCGCGAUUGAAUGAGCCGAUGUCGGAUUAGCUAGUUGGCGGGGUAAAGGCCCACCAAGGCGACGAUCCGUAGCUGGUCUGAGAGGAUGAUCAGCCACACUGGAACUGAGACACGGUCCAGACUCCUACGGGAGGCAGCAGUUGGGAAUAUUGGACAAUGGGCGCAAGCCUGAUCCAGCCAUACCGCGUGGGUGAAGAAGGCCUUCGGGUUGGAAAGCCCUUUUGUUGGGAAAGAAAAGCAGCAGGUUAAUACCCCGCUGUUCUGACGGUACCCAAAGAAUAAGCACCGGCUAACUUCGUG